This is a non-coding RNA of Danio rerio (zebrafish), 1595 nucleotides long. Lineage: Eukaryota; Metazoa; Chordata; Actinopteri; Cypriniformes; Danionidae. The record is from the annotation of a RefSeq genome assembly.
UCUUGUGGCCGUUUGUGUGUUUCAGCCAUAGACAUCUAGCCUACUAUAACAGAAAGCUUUUUAUAAUAUGUAUGUGCUUUCAGCUUUCCAUUAGGGCUUGAGUGGCCUCUAGUGGCUGCAUGAAGCGACAUCAAAUAUUCUCUCUACCUCAGUUUUUGUUUUGUGCUUGUUUUGUGUGAAUGUACUAGGUUUAAAUAAUCUGUCGUUGGCCCGAGUGGAUUAGGGUGUUAGUCCGGCCUGCUUUGCUUCAUGUCCCGGUUUAAACCUGCUUUUAUAGUUUUGACUUUUUCAACUACAAAAUACCCUAAAUCUAAUCAUUGCUGUAUAUAAGUAGCACAUUUGAUUCAGUAACUGACUACAACGUUUGCUAAUGCUUAACUUUCCAUCCAACAUAAUAAGACACCAAACCAAAGUGUUUUGGUAGCGUACAAACGUUAAAUUAGAUGUUAAAUGUCUUUAAAGUAGGACAUCUGGUUUAAAAGGUUGUCAAUGUUUACAAAAAUGAAGAGCAAUAAAUAGACCAUGCGUCACGUUAAAACUAGGCCAGUAGAACACCGCUGUCUAUAUCACCGCUGAAGAGAUGAAGUGUAGAAAUGUCCCAGGAUCUCAAAUCAGUAUCGAGCUGGGACUCUAAGGUUUUAUGUCUGGGAAUGAAGCACUGUGGUCAUCCGGUUCGAACUUCAAGCUUUUAAUGGGAUCUGGAACCAAGUUAAAUGUGCAGCAAAAAACUGAAGUGAAGCCGAAUAUUUACCAAGUGGGAAACUCAUGCCUGGCAACUGACUUCACAAAGCACAACGUGUUCAACAUUACCGAUUCACCUUUUCUUAAAACGUCGGCUGUCCGAUAUUCAGGCCAAAAUUACUACAGCAGCUUAAAAUUCGGCUUAGAUGACUGCGAGGAGACAGGCGUUUGUUCAUCAUCCGGUGGAGGUACAGAUUUAGAAAGAGAUGAAAAAGUCAACUUCUUGUCACUGGGCAUCUUCUGGCUGAGGAUUCUCUUUCUGAAGACAGUCGUUUUCAAUGUGCUGGUGACUUUCAAAGCAUGGAUGAGCUAACGACUCCUGGUGUGACUGCAGUGCCUGAAGUCUCCAAGAGAGGGCAAAGAGCAAGAUGAUCCUGCCAGCCAAAACUGAGGACCUGCUGCCAUCUAUUGUCAUUAUUUUGAUCUGCAGCUUUUAGUUUACAACUACCUGUAGUACUUCAAUAUUCAACACUAGAUGGAGGCAUUGUAUAAACAAUAUAAAUAAUCUCUGCGUAAAUACUUUACUGGAUUUGCCUGAAACAGAUUUGCUUUGAUAUUGGCAAUGUGUGAAAAUGUGCUCGUUGUAUUUAAUAUAAAACAAUUUUAUUAACAUAAGUAGCCUAUGUAUAAACCAUAUGUUUGUAUGAUUAGACCCAUUCUAUCACCCCUUGGCACUUUGAUCAUGAAUGUGAAGUAUUUUUUCAAUGGAAUAUUGCAUCACAUUGCAUCAUAUUUCUUUAUCUCACUGUAUUUUUUAAUGUUGUUAUUUAAUGUAAAACAAAUAAGCCUUCUCUGUCCAUUAAAGUAGUCUAUAGCAAAUGACAAUGAUUCAAUUCCUGUUCAAAAUCAACUUG